UACGGAGGGUGCAAACGUUGCUCGGAAUCAUUGGGCGUAAAGCGCACGUAGGCGGCUCGCUAAGUCGGAUGUGAAAGCCUCGGGCUCAACCCGGGAAGUGCAUACGAAACUGGCGAACUUGAAUAUGGAAGAGGGUCGCGGAAUUCCCGGUGUAGAGGUGAAAUUCGUAGAUAUCGGGAGGAACACCAGUGGCGAAGGCGGCGACCUGGGCCAAUAUUGACGCUGAGGCGCGA
RNAcentral lists this ribosomal RNA (233 nucleotides) under uncultured bacterium. RNAcentral describes it as "partial 16S ribosomal RNA". It matches the Rfam family "Bacterial small subunit ribosomal RNA", at positions 524 to 756 of the family's 1533-position model. The record is from RNAcentral.